GUCUCUGUGGCGCAAUCGGUUAGCGCGUUCGGCUGUUAACCGAAAGGUUGGUGGUUCGAGUUCACCCAGGGACG
This 74-nucleotide transfer RNA is filed under the name Magallana gigas (Pacific oyster). Its description in RNAcentral is "Crassostrea gigas (Pacific oyster) tRNA". It matches the Rfam family "tRNA". From Rfam's summary of the family: Transfer RNA (tRNA) molecules are approximately 80 nucleotides in length. Their secondary structure includes four short double-helical elements and three loops (D, anti-codon, and T loops). The record is from Rfam by way of RNAcentral. Lineage: Eukaryota; Metazoa; Mollusca; Bivalvia; Ostreida; Ostreidae.